This 879-nucleotide ribosomal RNA is filed under the name Euryhaliotrema perezponcei. RNAcentral describes it as "partial large subunit ribosomal RNA". It matches the Rfam family "Eukaryotic large subunit ribosomal RNA", at positions 344 to 967 of the family's 3401-position model. Lineage: Eukaryota; Metazoa; Platyhelminthes; Monogenea; Dactylogyridea; Ancyrocephalidae. The record is from RNAcentral.
UCAAGUACCCGGGAGGGAAAGUUGCAAAGUACUUUGAAGAGAGAGUAAAUAGCACGUGAAGCCGGUUGCAGGGAAGUUGUGGAGUCAAGCUUCAUGCUUGAGAAAUUUGUGCAAGUAACUUGUGUGUAUUGUAUGCAUGGUCGGUCAACUGGAAUAAGUUGGGUGCAUUCGUGUACUUCAAGUCAUUCUGGGUAGUGUGUUGGGCCGAUCAUGUACUACUGUUGCUUGUACCCUAUUUCUCGUUGCAUAAAUCAGGGUCUAUAGCCUUGUUUGUUGACGUGCUGCAUGAUCGUCUAACUGUGCUAUGGCUGACUUUGUGUUUGUCUGGUACAGGAUGGCAGGUUGAGGCUUCAGUCCUUGUGAUUGUUAGUCUCUUAUAGUGGUUUUGACCAGCCGAUGUUCAUGCAGUAUCGUGGCUAUAGUUGUUCCGUUGGUACACAGUUCUCAUCAACUGUGUAUCAGUAAGAACCCUGAUUCUGAGGUUGACGUUCCACCCGACCCGUCUUGAAACACGGACCAAGGAGUUUAACAUGUACGCAAGUCAAUGGGCAUAUUAUGAAACCCAAAGGCGCAAUGAAAGUGAAAGGGCUUUCGUGGCUCUUAGGUGUGAUUCUGGCUUGCCCUAACAAGGCGGUUGGACGCAGCACCGGCCCGUCUUUAAAUGUUGUCACAUUGGCCACGGCCAGUGUGCGUCAUUGAGGCGGAGCAAGAGCGUACAUGUUGAGACCCGAAAGAUGGUGAACUAUGCUUGCGUAGGUUGAAGCCAGAGGAAACUCUGGUGGAGGACCGAAGCGGUUUUGACGUGCAAAUCGAUCGUCGACCGCGAGCCUAGGGGCGAAAGAGAAAGAGAACGAAAGAGUAGCUGUAACGUUAUCAAUG